GACGAACGCUGGCGGCGUGCCUAAUACAUGCAAGUCGAACGAACUCUGGUAUUGAUUGGUGCUUGCAUCAUGAUUUACAUUUGAGUGAGUGGCGAACUGGUGAGUAACACGUGGGAAACCUGCCCAGAAGCGGGGGAUAACACCUGGAAACAGAUGCUAAUACCGCAUAACAACUUGGACCGCAUGGUCCGAGCUUGAAAGAUGGCUUCAGCUAUCACUUUUGGAUGGUCCCGCGGCGUAUUAGCUAGAUGGUGGGGUAACGGCUCACCAUGGCAAUGAUACGUAGCCGACCUGAGAGGGUAAUCGGCCACAUUGGGACUGAGACACGGCCCAAACUCCUACGGGAGGCAGCAGUAGGGAAUCUUCCACAAUGGACGAAAGUCUGAUGGAGCAACGCCGCGUGAGUGAAGAAGGGUUUCGGCUCGUAAAACUCUGUUGUUAAAGAAGAACAUAUCUGAGAGUAACUGUUCAGGUAUUGACGGUAUUUAACCAGAAAGCCACGGCUAACUACGUGCCAGCAGCCGCGGUAAUACGUAGGUGGCAAGCGUUGUCCGGAUUUAUUGGGCGUAAAGCGAGCGCAGGCGGUUUUUUAAGUCUGAUGUGAAAGCCUUCGGCUCAACCGAAGAAGUGCAUCGGAAACUGGGAAACUUGAGUGCAGAAGAGGACAGUGGAACUCCAUGUGUAGCGGUGAAAUGCGUAGAUAUAUGGAAGAACACCAGUGGCGAAGGCGGCUGUCUGGUCUGUAACUGACGCUGAGGCUCGAAAGUAUGGGUAGCAAACAGGAUUAGAUACCCUGUAGUCCAUACCGUAAACGAUGAAUGCUAAGUGUUGGAGGGUUUCCGCCUUUCAGUGCUGCAGCUAACGCAUUAAGCAUUCCGCCUGGGGAGUACGGCCGCAAGGCUGAAACUCAAAGGAAUUGACGGGGGCCCGCACAAGCGGUGGAGCAUGUGGUUUAAUUCGAAGCUACGCGAAGAACCUUACCAGGUCUUGACAUACUAUGCAAAUCUAAGAGAUUAGACGUUCCCUUCGGGGACAUGGAUACAGGUGGCGCAUGGUUGUCGUCAGCUCGUGUCGUGAGAUGUUGGGUUAAGUCCCGCAACGAGCGCAACCCUUAUUAUCAGUUGCCAGCAUUAAGUUGGGCACUCUGGUGAGACUGCCGGUGACAAACCGGAGGAAGGUGGGGAUGACGUCAAAUCAUCAUGCCCCUUAUGACCUGGGCUACACACGUGCUACAAUGGAUGGUACAACGAGUUGCGAACUCGCGAGAGUAAGCUAAUCUCUUAAAGCCAUUCUCAGUUCGGAUUGUAGGCUGCAACUCGCCUACAUGAAGUCGGAAUCGCUAGUAAUCGCGGAUCAGCAUGCCGCGGUGAAUACGUUCCCGGGCCUUGUACACACCGCCCGUCACACCAUGAGAGUUUGUAACACCCAAAGUCGGUGGGGUAACCUUUUAGGAACCAGCCGCCUAAGGUGGGACAGAUGAUUAGGGUG
This 1488-nucleotide ribosomal RNA is filed under the name Lactiplantibacillus plantarum. RNAcentral's name for it is "bacterial SSU rRNA". It matches the Rfam family "Bacterial small subunit ribosomal RNA". The record is from RNAcentral. Lineage: Bacteria; Bacillati; Bacillota; Bacilli; Lactobacillales; Lactobacillaceae.